This is a long non-coding RNA of Hibiscus syriacus, 365 nucleotides long. RefSeq lists it as uncharacterized. The record is from RefSeq and is a predicted model, not a curated record. NCBI's taxonomy places the organism in Eukaryota, Viridiplantae, Streptophyta, Magnoliopsida, Malvales, Malvaceae. The transcript is spliced from 3 exons.
UGCUAGUCUUCAAACAAAAUUUUAUUAGAAAAAACACUGUUUGCUGUCUGUUUUAGUUUGGUAUAAGAUCAAGAUCAACUGAUCUUCAAUCAACAAAGAACGAGCUUGGCAUCGACAUUGGGUCAGUGACGGUGGCAAGAGACGUGGUCAGUCUCGUGCUUGGUUACCUUAACAAUCUGGUUAUCGAAAUGGCCUUUUUUAUUCAGAGGAGGAGCUGCCGGAGCAUCUUCUUGGGACGUGCCGGCUGAACCAUCUAGACGCAGCAAAAUCUGUUACAGUAAAAGUAUGAAUAGUAAUUUAUUCUAAAUUUAAUGCCUGAUUACUAGGGUAGAUUGGUUGAGAAGCUUGGGCAAUGAUUGAUACAG